Long non-coding RNA from Pseudopipra pipra, 704 nucleotides. RefSeq lists it as uncharacterized. NCBI's taxonomy places the organism in Eukaryota, Metazoa, Chordata, Aves, Passeriformes, Pipridae. The record is from RefSeq and is a predicted model, not a curated record. The transcript is spliced from 2 exons.
UAAAAUAAAAAUUCCCUCCAAAGCAUCCCCAGCUGUGCUGAAUCUGAUCUCAAGGCUUAUGAUGUUUGACUCCAAAGCAUUUUUACUUCAGGACAUACUGUUUGAUCUCACUCUGUGCAGUAGGCCUCCUCAUUUUUGGGACACACUGUUCAUAGAGCUUUCCCAGUUCUGAUAGCUCCAGAGAUCUCAAGAAUUUCACAUCCUUCUUUCACUAUCUUCUGUAUUUAAGCAGCGCAUCUUAAUUUUAGGAUCCUCUUAAAUACGCAUGCGUUUCUGAAGUGCAAGCAGCAUAUGAUUUGAACAUGUUAACAGAAUGUCAAAUGUAGCCGUAUUCAUCAUAUUGACAUAUGUUGCAAUUUCUAGGUGUCCUCGCCCAAGUCAGAAACAAAAUGGGUGAACUUUCUAAAUACCAGCUUAGUUUUCUCAAACUGCUUCUUCAAAAUUUUUGUUUGAGUAUGUAAAGGCUGUGCUGUCUUUACAUUUUAUACAUUUUACUUUGAAACAUAAUCUUGUUUUCCCUCCCUUCCUUUUAACAUCAAAAUACAAGAUUUUCUUAGAGCCAGGCAGAGCAGGAGAGACAGAUGUGAUGAACAUGCAGAUACCAGGGAAGUGGUUUCCUUAGCAACGAGCACAGCUAAAGAAGAAAAUACACAUGGAUUCCUCCCAUCACCAGAAUUAAAAGGAGUUACUGAGUGUGAUUCAAA